Molecule: unclassified non-coding RNA, 644 nt
Filed under: Hevea brasiliensis (rubber tree)
Lineage: Eukaryota; Viridiplantae; Streptophyta; Magnoliopsida; Malpighiales; Euphorbiaceae
Source: RNAcentral
UCAUGCUCUAAGCGAGAAGAAUCUGAAGCAUGAUCUGCAUAGUUCUCGAGAGCAUCUCCAUCCGCCGCACAUGAUGCACUAGUUGUGGACAAGUAAGCAAAAUCCUUCAUGGUGUGAUUCUGUGAACAAUCUUCAAGUCUUUUAUGCAUUUCUUCAGCAGAUAGUUGAACUGUUUUCUUUUGCCUGUGGGAAUGGAUGUGAGCUGGGAAGCAUGAAAACUUAAACAUCUUUAAAAAAGAAAAAGAAAUUGGGUUCACAUGAGAUUUAAUCACUUUCGAGAUAUUGAAGAUCUCUAAUAUUCUAAUAUUUUUCUAAACUGGUAAUCUGUAGAAUUUCAGCAAAAUAAGGUCACAUGACUGAAGGACUUAGCACAUGGCAAUCUUAGCCAUAAUCAAGUGUGAGCCCUGCUGAGACACGGCACAAUCUCCAGAUAUGUGAUGAUCUUGAUCUCCUCAAAACACAUAGUAAAAUCACCCCCUCGUUCUUGCCCCACACCCACUUAGAGGUGCGAGAGAAGCUGGAAGUUUUUAUAGCGGCCAGACUUGAAGAAGUUUGUCAAAAUCUAAAUGAACCCAAUGAUUGCUAUGCCCCAGAGAUACCAACCUGUUAAAAAGGAAAAAAUAAAUAAACCGAAACUGUGAUGA